This 220-nucleotide long non-coding RNA is filed under the name Gossypium barbadense (sea-island cotton). Its description in RNAcentral is "long non-coding RNA (GBAR_LNC009080)". The record is from RNAcentral. Lineage: Eukaryota; Viridiplantae; Streptophyta; Magnoliopsida; Malvales; Malvaceae.
UCAGCCUCUACACACCAUAUUCGUCCAACCCUACACUCUAUGUGGAGAUAUAAUCAACCCACCCAACACUACACUCCAAGUAGUACCGAAUACGGCACCAUAUAGUAAUAUGCAGCGGAGCUGCUAGUAAAUCAAGCUCGAGGCCUAUCAAUGCACUUCUUCCGCAUAAUAUAACCCCUAACCCAACCCAACCCAAUGCAGUGCAAUAUACAACAUGUCA